GCACAAAUUUCGCAAGGCAGAUUCAGAUUUCAAAGAUAGUGAGAAAUCAUAAGCAAAAGGAGAAGCAAUGUUGACGGGGAUCGAAUAGCUUGCGCCGACUUGAGCAAAGUGCGGGGAAGAUUUAGUUAUUGAAGAGGCCCGAGGAGGGAUAGUGGGAGAAGGACCAUGUUCUGAGGACGAUUGCUUUGGCUGCUUGAAUCAUUUCGAGCAUGAUCUGCAGAUUGAAUUUGGCUACUUCCUUACGAUCUCGGGUUGGGCUUUUACUGGGUCUAGAAUUGUUUAAGAAGAUCGAAGCCCAAGUCAUCGGUUAUUUCCCUUUUGUGCCAUUGUGUCCUUUUGUUCUGCUAUAUAUGCUUGCUUUAUCAUUUCUUUUUAUUUUGGAUUUAAUGUAAGCUGGAUUUAAUACGACUUUUUUUUCUUUUA
This is a long non-coding RNA of Arabidopsis lyrata subsp. lyrata, 423 nucleotides long. RefSeq lists it as uncharacterized. The record is from RefSeq and is a predicted model, not a curated record. The transcript has 2 exons. NCBI's taxonomy places the organism in Eukaryota, Viridiplantae, Streptophyta, Magnoliopsida, Brassicales, Brassicaceae.